UUGGAGGCUGGGGCUGGGUGGCCUCUGGCCCCAGACCAGCAAGCAGAGUCAAGGCAAGAGAAAGGGAAGGGGAGGUUGGAGAAGGCAGAAGGGGGCCUUGGCAAGACUGUGGGGUUGAGCCUGGGAAGAAAGGCCUGGAGGAAUUGAAGUGGAAGGGCUUUGAGUCAACAUCAGGAAAGAAGGAAAAGCAGAGACUGAUCAAGGCAGGGCUUGUGGUCCGGAGACAUGACCUGCCCCAGGCGUUCAGGACGAGGUUGCAGCCCCGGAACAGUGCCGCCAGGGGUCUAGCAGUUACUAACCUCUCCAAACUGGUUAGGCUCCAAGGGCAGCAGCAGAGGGAGUAGAGGACCUGACUUGUAGUGUUUGCCAGCAUGCAAAUACUCCCACCGUGGCCGAUUACGAACCACAGCCAUGAAGUCACCGAACACAGAGCUGGGAAGAGGUGCACACAAUGAACUGUUGCCUACAGUAUAUGUUGUGCCGAAGCAAGCAGAAUGCCUUACUCCAUUUAAUCUUCAUGAUCUGCUAAAAUGAAAGGGACCUUGUCCAUCUUGUUCACCAUUGUAACCCAAAGCCUACGACAGCAUCAGGACAGGACAUAAUAGGUGCUCAAUAAAUAUUGACCGAAUAAAUGCAAGACCAAUGCAAUGAGGAAGGUAUUAUUAUGAGUCCAUUUCACAGAUAAGAAAUUAAGGCUCGGGGCGCCUGGGUG
Long non-coding RNA from Lynx canadensis (Canada lynx), 712 nucleotides. RefSeq lists it as uncharacterized. The record is from RefSeq and is a predicted model, not a curated record. The transcript is spliced from 3 exons. Lineage: Eukaryota; Metazoa; Chordata; Mammalia; Carnivora; Felidae.